CCUCCAGGACACAGGGGUGAAGCCCAUCACCUUGAGACCAGCAUCCACCCGCCAGGACUUCUGCAGCUGCAGCUUCUCCGGGACAGCCUCCUGUCUCUCCAGAAGGAAAACCUCUCUCCCACAGCAACUUUGGUGACCUGAGCAGAAAAAUGGGGGCACAUUGGAUGGAUCCUGAGUAUGGAAAUCAUCUUCCAGGCUGCCCCAGGAGAGAUGGAUGUUUCCUGAUGCUUCCCUUAUCUCUGCAGCAGCUCAGCCAUCCCAAAGCUUCCAGGGCUAUAAGAAGAACCAACACACACACCCAGAGACCCCGAGGCAGAGGCUCUGCAGAGCCACAUGGAAGUCAUUACAGGGAUCACUGCCCCAAGGAGCCUCCUUCCCUGGCACAUGGUGUCAGCCAGCAUAGCCUGUCCUCAUCUCCACCCUGUCCCCAUCUUCCUCCCCAUCCUUUUCCUCAUCUCCAUUCCUAUUCCCAGCCCUAUCCCCAUUCCUGCCCCCAAAUUGUCCCCAAACUAUCUCCAGCCCUGUCCCCAUUCCUGUCCAAGAACUAUUCCCAUCCCUAUCCCCAUUCCUGUCCCCUGGCUCAUUCCCAU
Molecule: long non-coding RNA, 590 nt
Organism: Calypte anna (Anna's hummingbird)
Lineage: Eukaryota; Metazoa; Chordata; Aves; Apodiformes; Trochilidae
Exons: 4
Source: RefSeq, a predicted model, not a curated record